CCUACGGGUGGCAGCAGUGAGGAAUAUUGGUCAAUGGACGGAAGUCUGAACCAGCCAUGCCGCGUGCAGGAAGACGGCUCUAUGAGUUGUAAACUGCUUUUGUACAAGGGUAAACCUGAAUACGUGUAUUCAGCUGAAAGUACUGUACGAAUAAGGAUCGGCUAACUCCGUGCCAGCAGCCGCGGUAAUACGGAGGAUCCAAGCGUUAUCCGGAUUUAUUGGGUUUAAAGGGUGCGUAGGCGGAUUGAUAAGUUAGAGGUGAAAUGUCCGGGCUUAACUCGGGAACUGCCUCGAGUACAGUGGGUGGAGGGAGUGGGUGGGGUAGGGGGAAGGUAGGGGGUGGGGGUGAGAUGGGUAGAGA
This 361-nucleotide ribosomal RNA is filed under the name uncultured bacterium. RNAcentral's name for it is "partial 16S ribosomal RNA". It matches the Rfam family "Bacterial small subunit ribosomal RNA", at positions 338 to 696 of the family's 1533-position model. The record is from RNAcentral.